UACGUAGGGACCGAGCGUUGUCCGGAAUCAUUGGGCGUAAAGAGCGUGUAGGCGGCCACUUAAGUCCUGCGUGAAAUCUUGCGGCUCAACCGCAAGCGGUCGUGGGAAACUGGGUGGCUAGAGUGCGGGAGAGGAGAGUGGAAUUCCUGGUGUAGCGGUGAAAUGCGUAGAGAUGUGGAGGAACACCGAUGGCGAAGGCAGCCCCCUGGGUCAAGAUUGACGCUCAUGCACGAAA
Molecule: ribosomal RNA, 235 nt
Filed under: uncultured prokaryote
Description: partial 16S ribosomal RNA
Rfam family: Bacterial small subunit ribosomal RNA
Source: RNAcentral